CCUACGGGGGGCUGCAGUGGGGAAUAUUGGACAAUGGGGGGAACCCUGAUCCAGCCAUGCCGCGUGUGUGAAGAAGGCCCUCGGGUUGUAAAGCACUUUCAGUGAGGAAGCACGCCUGGUGGUUAAUACCCAUCAGGAAAGACAUCACUCACAGAAGAAGCACCGGCUAACUCCGUGCCAGCAGCCGCGGUAAUACGGAGGGUGCGAGCGUUAAUCGGAAUUACUGGGCGUAAAGCGCGCGUAGGUGGCUUGAUAAGCCGGUUGUGAAAGCCCCGGGCUCAACCUGGGAACGGCAUCCGGAACUGUCAAGCUCGAGUGCAGGAGAGGAAGGUAGAAUUCCCGGUGUAGCGGUGAAAUGCGUAGAGAUCGGGAGGAAUACCAGUGGCGAAGGCGGCCUUCUGGACUGACACUGACACUGAGGUGCGAAAGCGUGGGUAGCAAACAGGAUUAGAUACCCCGGUAGUC
RNAcentral lists this ribosomal RNA (465 nucleotides) under Vreelandella stevensii. Its description in RNAcentral is "partial 16S ribosomal RNA". It matches the Rfam family "Bacterial small subunit ribosomal RNA", at positions 338 to 795 of the family's 1533-position model. The record is from RNAcentral. Lineage: Bacteria; Pseudomonadati; Pseudomonadota; Gammaproteobacteria; Oceanospirillales; Halomonadaceae.